CUUAACCACCAAGUUUGGUAUAAUGUGGUACAUUUAAAAUUUUUUUAGACACUAAUUUUUAAUUAUUAUUUAGUGUGUAUUCAAAUGAAAAUGCAGGUAUUUAUUAUGGCACACUACUAAUGUCAGAUUUGAUUUUUCUGCUAAUUUUAAGCAAUAUACUAAUGUGUACUUUGACAAAAGACUUAAUGUUUAUUUUCAGCCUAUAGAUAAAAUAUCUCCAUUUUUUUUAUCAGGUAUGAGAGAAUUAAAGGUAACAUUAGUGAAUUAAAUUUUUUUAAACUUGUGAAUAAUUGUUUUGACAUUGCAUGAUUUAUUAAAGAUAUUCAUAGAUGGAUGCAAAAUUUAGGAAGUUACUCAAUUUGAUCUCAGUGCUUCAGGUAAUGGGUGUAAUUCCUGACCUAAAAUGAGCCAUUUAUGGCCUUGAAUAUAUUGAGAAGUUCUUUUACUGCCAUGGAAAAAUGAAUACAGCUCCUGCCGCUUUAACGGUAGUACAGUAAUUAAUGGCUGCAUUCUUUUAGCUUUCUGCAGUUCUGCGUAAGCUCUGCCCAGAUCACACAGUAGAGCUGUAAAUAUAAGUGGUCUCUAACUGCCAGAAGUUUCUGUUGGUGCACUAGUGAAUGAUCCAGUUUUGUGUAAAUAAAAUAAAAAGUUGUAAUGUCAUUAUUUGUGUUUAUUAUGGCUACAUCUGGUUAUUUAAAUUGCUAAAUUAAUCCUGUGCCAAGUUUCACCUUUUCAAAUAAUAGAAUAAUUUGUAAUUAAUGAAAUUACUUUUUAUCACAAAAUGUUACUGCUGCACUUUUAAAAGAAAUUAAAAUUACUCCCACUGAUAGAAUUCUGGGAAUGAUUAUUCCUCAUAGAAAAAAAAUUAUCUGGAACACUGGGUCUUAUACUGAACUUAACUGAAGGUUUCAGAGCUUUUAUUGUAGACACAGAAUCUUUUGUGUUGUGUUCUUGCAACUUUAAGGUUUAAGAUAAGCCAAAGAAAAAUUGACAUUUUAAAAGAUGUUUGUUUUUUAAUUAGUUUUGAAACUAAAACCUAUUCUCUCUUUUGUGAUUAUACUAGAAUACGAACACUUAUUUAGUGGAGAUUUUCUUAUGGCUUAUUAAAUUUCUAAAGAAAAAAUAGAGUUCAUGUGUACAUCUGAUAUCAAAAUAAAAUAACUUGUUAAUGUCAAAUUACCUAUAAGCCACAUCUCUGUGAUGAAAAAUGUCUUCUUUCCCCAUCCGAAAAAGAUAAAUGAGGAGAGGAAUAUUUCUGAGGUUGUGCUUCUUGAUAUUUAUAUUGUUUGGAAAUUUAAACACACUCACCAUGAUUUUUUAACCUUAAAGUUUUAAAAUACUAUUUAAAUUGUUAAUUUGUAUUAUCCUUUACAAGUGGAAUGUGUUGUUCAUUCAAUUGGCAUACUUAUCUAACCACACAAUAAAAUAUUUGUCUAUAAGAUGUGCUCUUCUUAAAACUUCUUUUUGUUUCAGUUAGAGUUUCACGUUUGCGGCUUCAUCAGAUCUAAUGGUGCAAGAACCAGCAAUGUUGAUACUGUUCUGAAGCUGAAAACAUUAAUAUUGAAGCUUCAACGUUGCUGGAUGUAGUUACAACUACCAUACUAGUUGUUCAUGCGAGCUAGAAGAGCUUGACUUUAUCCUGUGGAAUGAUGUCAAGAAUUAUCUCAACAAAAUGAAGAAGCUGAGAUGGUUCCAUCUGAUGCAGAAGCUGCAUCUCCAACAGGGCAGUUUUUUUCAAGAAGUUCAAGUUCUUCUACGACAUAUGAUGCAAGUAAAAUCUUUUUUAAUGGAAAUACCAAUAAUUUUAUGUGGUGAAAAUUUUUAUUAAAAUGUAUCAUUGUUUAAACAAAAUGUUUUUCAUGGAAAUUCUUGGUGAUAUUCUUGUAUAAAGUAUUUUUAUGAUUGUUGAAUUUCAUUCAAAGCUACACUAAGGCUUAUGCUAGCCAUUCCUAACUUUAAGUGAGGGGGCUAGAGGGAAAGCAGCUAGUCAACACCAUACACUGUAAGCUCUUGUUAGACCAUCAUUCUUAUAAAGCACCCAUGGCUCCAAAAUGCUGAGUUCAGAUUAUUAUUUUUUUUGCAGUAACAGAAUGUAAACCAUGGAACCUCAGCUUCACACUAACCACUUAGCUGUGAUUGGCCACUUAUUUUCUUCUUUUAAUGAAAAACAGUUUUCAGUGCAUUCUGAUAAACAUUUUGCAAAAUAACUUUUUUUUUAACUUUGUAAAAACUUUCUGUGGGAAAGAUCUGUGACAGUUUAAUAGGAAUUAAUUUUAAAAAGGAACCUAUUUCAAUACAUAACUUGAACAAUUAUAAAUAACCUAGCAACCAUAUAACAACUAAUAGCCAAUUGAUGUUUACUUAUCACUAAUGACAUAAAAUACCUGAAGUAUGUUAUUUUGUUAGUGUUGAGUAAAGGAUUAUACAUCAAAACAUCAAACAAGUUUCUUAUAUUCCACCACUGAUGAGCUGUGAAAUAGACAAAACUAGUAUACUGCAGUGGGAGUAUGGAAUCAAAGAAAAUAUUAGGCCUAUAGGUCAUCUUUUCUUCACUGAAGUUUGUGUUUUGGUAAGCAUCUUGGGGGUUUUCAAUUGAAUUAUAUUGAUGAGUCAGAAAUUUAGCAUACAAACAAAUCUGUAAUCAGUGAAGCAAUUGGAUAUUUUUGAGGGAAUUUUUUAAUUGCUUAAGUAUUUUAGCGUUUUAAAAAAGUUUAAGAAGUUAUAACAAUUUUCUGAGUUUUUAAGUGAACAUACACAUGAAGAAGUGUCGUAAAUAAAGUUGCAUGUAUUAAGAAAUAAGGUCAAGAGCUAGGAAACUACAGCCAGCUGGUUAAGUGGUAUUGAGAAUUACGAGUUAUAAAAAAAUGAAGCUACAACAGAGAUGUUGAGAAAAAUGCUAGCAUAAUGAUUAAUUAUUAAUGCCAACUUGUUAGUACUGUGGAGGCUACGAAAAAGUUGAUGUUAACACGCAGAAGUUGUACUUUGAUUAUAUAUUCCUUGCACGAUGCUGGUGUACUAGCACAAGUAA
This 3028-nucleotide long non-coding RNA is filed under the name Limulus polyphemus (Atlantic horseshoe crab). RNAcentral's name for it is "uncharacterized LOC111086742". The record is from RNAcentral. Lineage: Eukaryota; Metazoa; Arthropoda; Merostomata; Xiphosura; Limulidae.